GAAAUUAACCAGACAAUCGCUGCUUUGUUGUAGUCCUUGUUAAAGAGGAGACAAACAAAGGGGAGGAAAGUCCGGGCUCCAUAGGGCAGAGUGCCAGGUAACGCCUGGGGAAUUUUGGCGUGAGCUAAAAUUUACGACUAGUGCAACAGAGAGUAUACCGCCGAUGGCUUAUAGUUAUUAAGAUCAGGUAAGGGUGAAAGGGUGCGGUAAGAGCGCACCGCGCAACUGGUAACAGUUGUGGCACGGUAAACUCCACUCGGAGCAAGGUCAAAUAGGGAUUCAUUGGCGCGGCCCGCGUUGAAUCCGGGUAGACUGCUUGAGCUAAUGCGUGAGUAUUAGCCUAGAGGAAUGAUUGUCCACGACAGAACCCGGCUUAUCGGUUAAUUUCAAUU
RNAcentral lists this RNase P RNA (392 nucleotides) under Gilliamella sp. wkB308. RNAcentral describes it as "RNase P RNA component class A". It matches the Rfam family "Bacterial RNase P class A". From Rfam's summary of the family: Ribonuclease P (RNase P) is a ubiquitous endoribonuclease, found in archaea, bacteria and eukarya as well as chloroplasts and mitochondria. Its best characterised activity is the generation of mature 5'-ends of tRNAs by cleaving the 5'-leader elements of precursor-tRNAs. The record is from RNAcentral. Lineage: Bacteria; Pseudomonadati; Pseudomonadota; Gammaproteobacteria; Orbales; Orbaceae.